Crotalus tigris (Tiger rattlesnake) is the source of this 1200-nucleotide long non-coding RNA. RefSeq lists it as uncharacterized. The record is from RefSeq and is a predicted model, not a curated record. NCBI's taxonomy places the organism in Eukaryota, Metazoa, Chordata, Lepidosauria, Squamata, Viperidae. The transcript is spliced from 3 exons.
UUACCACAUGUCACUCCAAAAAUGACAGCUAGGAGGGUUCGUUCAAGGCAUCCCCAAAGAAAAGGCCCAAAGGAGGCUAUUAAUUGGUCACAGCAGACCUUUCCCUGGCUCACAUGUUAAUAUAACUAAAUUUGGGGCCUCUGGUGCAUGGGGUCUUAAAUGCCAAGAGUUGGUUUUUACAAUAUUUUAAAGACGAGUGUGGAAAAAGGGGCGCUACCCACCCUCCUGUUAAAGGCAAAGCAGAAAUCUUUGGUGAAUAAAAAGAAGAAAAUCUACUUUUGAUUAGUCUGUUUGGCAAUUUUGGGAGAAAGAAAGCCCACAAUAGAAACAGCAGCUUCAUUCCAAGAGGACAAAGGCAAAAUAACCAUCUCUUCAUUUAGAAACAAGGAGGUUCAACCAUUCCAACAUCUGGAUUUUCUUUUAAAAAGUGGAAUUUGCAUGAAUUCUCUUCAGCUGAAUCAUCUGUGCAAUAUAACCUGCCACAUUUAACAUCCCUGAAAAAGAAACAGUCAAUUCCUUCUAAUUAACAAAGUGGAAUAAGAAGAUGUCUGUUUCUUUGCUCAUUCACAAAUAUUUAAGUUAAAAAAUAAAAAAAGAGAGAGAUGGAGAAUCAGAAGCUUGCUCAGCCUCAAAAUGAACUGGUUUGCCUUUAACAGGUAAAUGAAUAAUCUCACGAAGUUUUUCAAGGCUUUGGGGAAAAUUAGAUAAAUGCAGUUUCUCUAUCUCCAACUAACUCACAUGGUUUCCCUGUUUAUGAAGGUGAAGAUAAUUUGAGUCAAGAUUCUUAUCAUCAGAGUAGUAAUAUUCUGGAUCGUGUAACUCUAGGUAACCCUGACUACAGCAUGUAUCUGUAUGUUAGAAUAUCUGGCAUUUAUUGGGUUAAGUGCUGUCUUCUUAAGAGAUGGCUUAUGGGAAAUGUAGUUUUAGCUAGUUAGCUAUCUCAUGUUAACAGAUCAGUAGGAGGAGGAGCCUCUGAGCUCUUCUCAGGACAUACUGGCUAUGUGCCCAGUUUGGAAUGCCUUUGUUCAUCCAGCCUCAUGUCUCCUAGUCACACGGUUUGGAGCUCCUAUGCCAAUAUGUGAUGCUUAUGCAGAAAUCCAUUAUCAAAUUAUCUAUGGAAAUGAACAGAGACAUAUUAUCCAGAAGCAACCAACAUAAUUGCAAGUAAUUCCUCUGAAUAAAUAUAUUUCUGUUAUGCAA